RNAcentral lists this transfer RNA (74 nucleotides) under Planctomycetaceae bacterium. Its description in RNAcentral is "tRNA-Ile". It matches the Rfam family "tRNA". Rfam says of the family: Transfer RNA (tRNA) molecules are approximately 80 nucleotides in length. Their secondary structure includes four short double-helical elements and three loops (D, anti-codon, and T loops). Lineage: Bacteria; Pseudomonadati; Planctomycetota; Planctomycetia; Planctomycetales; Planctomycetaceae. The record is from RNAcentral.
GGGGCAGUAGCUCAGUUGGUUAGAGCGGGGGACUCAUAAUCCCUAGGUCGUGGGUUCAAGUCCUACCUGCCCUA